Molecule: long non-coding RNA, 1185 nt
Organism: Monopterus albus (swamp eel)
Lineage: Eukaryota; Metazoa; Chordata; Actinopteri; Synbranchiformes; Synbranchidae
Exons: 3
Source: RefSeq, a predicted model, not a curated record
CUCCGGACCUUCCCACUACUGCUUGCACCUGGACCUGAGGGCUUGUGAUUACUUCACCGUCAGAGGGCUACUGGGACCCUUUUCCUAUUUCUUUGGACACACGGAGGAGGAACUGGAGAUGAUCUGGAAGGUGAAGGCCAAAGUAGUUCCAGUAGUGGUAGGAGCACUCGGAGCCGUGCCACUGGAAGAAUGGCUCCAAUAGAUCCCAGGAACAACAUCAGCGCUCUCUGUCCAGAAGAGUACAAUGCUAAGUACAGCUGGCCUUACAUUGGUGCAAGGCCGGGGAUGGUGUAAGAAGUGGGAUGGGCGUUGACAGAAGCAAGAGGCAGUGCGACCUGAAGCAGAAGGCCCCUAGGAAAUUGCCUGCCACCCCACUCUUAGUGGGAGCCCACCAAAAUGAGACCGCUGACUGAGCCAGUGUUCCUCACGAGGCAAGCCGGAAGAACCCUGCCAAUCAUCAUCAUCACCCUGGCUUCACAGGGACCCAGAGCCAGCACCAGCUAACCAGCCAGCCAUUCCAGAACUGCGAGCAGAUCAGUCCAAGCUAGCAGCAGGAUAAACCCCUACCUCAAUGACGACCUGACCAGAAGGCCACAUGGGGAGCGCCAUCCUGCAGUGUGCCAUCUUUUUCCCAAUCCCUGGGGUGAAGACGCCUAAGUUCUAUGGUAGGGACAUCUGGGAGGCCUAUCUUGCCCAGUUCGAAUUGUUUGCUGCUGCUGCUCACUGGUCAGAGAAAGCAAAGGCACUAUAGCUGGCUUUGUUGCUGAUGGAGGAUGACCACUCAUUCCUACUGUUGCUGAGCCUGGACGAGUGGAUUGCCUGGUGAAUGCACUUCAGAGUCACUUCUGCCCCUCAACCUGCAAGAUGCCCUUUCCAGUGAGUUUAAACACUGCACCCAGGUGCCGGGAGAAUCCCUCCAUGUUUUGGUUCAUCCAUGCCACCUCCCAUUCAGGGUGAGUUGGUGUUUGUCCAGGCCCCUGCCCCUGACAAGCUUAGACUACACGUGCAGCUGGCCCACCCCAGAAUCUUAGGUGAAGCCCUGGAGAUCAUAGUGGAGUGGGAGACCACUGCCUGUGCACCGAGGCGUGGCCUUGGGUCAUGGCCACUAUGUGGAGACCGGCAAGGAGGAGGCAGCCUGCCAGGUCGCUGCCAUGCCACUACUACCAGCGAAGUGAUUCAUUGCGA